This 497-nucleotide ribosomal RNA is filed under the name uncultured bacterium. RNAcentral describes it as "partial 16S ribosomal RNA". It matches the Rfam family "Bacterial small subunit ribosomal RNA", at positions 28 to 507 of the family's 1533-position model. The record is from RNAcentral.
GAUGAACGCUGGCGGCGUGCCUAAUACAUGCAAGUCGAGCGAACGGACGAGAAGCUUGCUUCUCUGAUGUUAGCGGCGGACGGGUGAGUAACACGUGGAUAACCUACCUAUAAGACUGGGAUAACUUCGGGAAACCGGAGCUAAUACCGGAUAAUAUUUUGAACCGCAUGGUUCAAAAGUGAAAGACGGUCUUGCUGUCACUUAUAGAUGGAUCCGCGCUGCAUUAGCUAGUUGGUAAGGUAACGGCUUACCAAGGCAACGAUGCAUAGCCGACCUGAGAGGGUGAUCGGCCACACUGGAACUGAGACACGGUCCAGACUCCUACGGGAGGCAGCAGUAGGGAAUCUUCCGCAAAGGGCGAAAGCCUGACGGAGCAACGCCGCGUGAGUGAUGAAGGUCUUCGGAUCGUAAAACUCUGUUAUUAGGAAAGAACAUAUGUGUAAGUAACUGUGCACAUCUUGACGGUACCUAAUCAGAAAGCCACGGCUAACUACGUG